UUGGGCGGGUGACAAUUUUGGCCAAUGGCGACCCACUCCUUGUUUACAUAACAAAGACUGAUGUGGAAAGUAAAUAAUAGAUAGCGUAAUUACUUCACAAUCAUGCAAAACUAAGGGCUUUCUUCAAUGGCUCCUGUACUGCACAUGCGUAUUUAUGCAAUUUUCAGGGGAAUUUAGGCUUAUCCAUGAUUUAAAAGAUAGACGAUAAUAUGAAAAUGUUUGCAGUAUUUCUAUGCGUUGCAACUCAAUUGAAUUUUCAAAAACUUACAUUGCUAUCCAUGAUGCAAUCGUAGUUGCACAGGCAACAACUAAACUAUUUUCCCUAUAUUUAUGGUUGUUGGAGUGUUGUUAUAUGUAUAUCAAAAGAACUGUGGCAAAUUAUCUAUUGGUUGGCUUAUGAAGAUGUAUUGGCGUCGUGCAAUGCAGAUUGCCUUACAAAAAAUAUACAUAUAUGAAAAUAAAAAUAGAAAAUAAAGAAGAAUGAGAUCAUACAAGGAAAAAUAAUGAACUGACGUUCUUACUUUGCAUAUUAUUUCGCCAAUCAAUGAUGAUAAGCAUAAAUAAAAUGCCAAGCAGACAAGGUUUUGGAUAGUGGAAAGCGUCCUUAACACGAUACCAGCCUACGGUCAUGGGUAACGCCAUUUGUCAAGGUCUGCAACGUCAGAGCAAAUCUGAAACACAUGGAUAAUUGCAACUCUGGGAAAAAGGUAUAAAAACAUAUUAUAUAUAUUGCUUUCAUCUUUUCUCUCCUAUCCAAAAACAUGACGUAAUUUUAAUUUGGUUACCUAGGUGAAGAAGGGGAAUUCUGGUAGUCAUAUUCCAUCAGCUGCCAAUUCCAGUAAAAAAGAAAAAAAAAAUAUAUUAGCGUUAGCGUACGUAUAACUCAACCAAUUCAAUGAAUAUUCAACAAAGCUAGUGCAGUAUUUGGAAAACACAAAAUGCACUUUUUUUCUUGCAAUAUAAUUUUCUUUAUGAUAUAUAUUAAAUAGCAAAAGACAGUUGGCAACUCGACUAUAUCUUCUACUCAGAUGUCAAAUUCAGCAGGUUUGGUGGCAGUCACUGGAAUACCACCGUAGAUUGUGCCAUUCCUCAUUCUCAGCUCGUAAUUGUAUAUCUGCUCAUCCAUUUGUGAAUCUAUCUCCAAAAUCGGAGACACAUCGACGAAUUAAGAUGGGUAACCUGAAGAAAUGCUGCGUUAUUUUGCUCGUCAUGGGUUUACUGAACCCAGAAGUGACGGGGAGAACCAUAAUGAACCCCAAACUUCGCGUUAGGCGCCAGCCGGACCAAAUCCUACCAACGAAGGCGACGCUGGACACAGCCCCAGAUGUCCUAGACCGAGGUGAAAUAGGCCUACUUCCAUCGGCCAGCGAUCGAGACACAACGAUCAGCUUUGCUCCCGCACCUGCAGCUUUCAAUAUAGAUUCAACCGACUGCACUGGGAUAUGCAACAGCAGAUCAGGCGAUGGACUGUGCGAAUUAGAUGCCGAAUGUUGUGCUAGCACCUUCAAAGGUGCUGAAUACUUGAAGUGUAUUGUGGGUUGAUGCUGUUCAUGUUUGCUGUGAGUCUAUAGAGAUACCAGACCAAGGAUCUUGGUCAGUUCUGUCUAGGACGUAGCAGUUCCAGUUAAUUAUGUUAUUGGCAGUGCUUUUAUUAAUUUUUCUUAUUAUUGUUUCUCACAUAUUCAACUUAAAUGAGCUCCAUACAAUGUUGUAA
Molecule: long non-coding RNA, 1714 nt
Organism: Macrobrachium nipponense
Lineage: Eukaryota; Metazoa; Arthropoda; Malacostraca; Decapoda; Palaemonidae
Exons: 2
Source: RefSeq, a predicted model, not a curated record